CAGAAGGGAGCUUGCUCCCGGAUGUUAGCGGCGGACGGGUGAGUAACACGUGGGUAACCUGCCUGUAAGACUGGGAUAACUCCGGGAAACCGGAGCUAAUACCGGAUAGUUCCUUGAACCGCAUGGUUCAAGGAUGAAAGACGGUUUCGGCUGUCACUUACAGAUGGACCCGCGGCGCAUUAGCUAGUUGGUGAGGUAACGGCUCACCAAGGCGACGAUGCGUAGCCGACCUGAGAGGGUGAUCGGCCACACUGGGACUGAGACACGGCCCCAGACUCCUACGGGAGGCAGCAGUAGGGAAUCUUCCGCAAUGGACGAAAGUCUGACGGAGCAACGCCGCGUGAGUGAUGAAGGUUUUCGGAUCGUAAAGCUCUGUUGUUAGGGAAGAACAAGUGCAAGAGUAACUGCUUGCACCUUGACGGUACCUAACCAGAAAGCCACGGCUAACUACGUGCCAGCAGCCGCGGUAAUACGUAGGUGGCAAGCGUUGUCCGGAAUUAUUGGGCGUAAAGGGCUCGCAGGCGGUUUCUUAAGUCUGAUGUGAAAGCCCCCGGCUCAACCGGGGAGGGUCAUUGGAAACUGGGAAACUUGAGUGCAGAAGAGGAGAGUGGAAUUCCACGUGUAGCGGUGAAAUGCGUAGAGAUGUGGAGGAACACCAGUGGCGAAGGCGACUCUCUGGUCUGUAACUGACGCUGAGGAGCGAAAGCGUGGGGAGCGAACAGGAUUAGAUACCCUGGUAGUCCACGCCGUAAACGAUGAGUGCUAAGUGUUUAGGGGGUUUCCGCCCCUUAGUGCUGCAGCUAACGCAUUAAGCACUCCGCCUGGGGAGUACGGUCGCAAGACUGAAACUCAAAGGAAUUGACGGGGGCCCGCACAAGCGGUGGAGCAUGUGGGUUUAAUUCGAAGCAACGCGAAGAACCUUACCAGGUCUUGACAUCCUCUGACAACCCUAGAGAUAGGGCUUUCCCUUCGGGGACAGANUGACAGGUGGUGCAUGGUUGUCGUCAGCUCGUGUCGUGANAUGUUUGGGUUAAGUCCCGCAACGAGCGCAACCCUUGAUCUUAGUUGCCAGCAUUCAGUUGGGCACUCUAAGGUGACUGCCGGUGACAANCCGNAGANAAGGUGGGGGAUGAACGUCAAAUCAUCAUGCCCCUUAUGACCUGGGCUACACACGUGCUACAAUGGACAGAACAAAGGGCUGCGAGACCGCAAGGUUUAGCCAAUCCCACAAAUCUGUUCUCAGUUCGGAUCGCAGUCUGCAACUCGACUGCGUGAAGCUGGAAUCGCUAGUAAUCGCGGAUCAGCAUGCCGCGGUGAAUACGUUCCCGGGCCUUGUACACACCGCCCGUCACACCACGAGAGUUUGCAACACCCGAAGUCGGUGAGGUAACCUUUAGGAGCCAGCCGCCG
RNAcentral lists this ribosomal RNA (1410 nucleotides) under Bacillus aerophilus. RNAcentral describes it as "bacterial SSU rRNA". It matches the Rfam family "Bacterial small subunit ribosomal RNA". The record is from RNAcentral. Lineage: Bacteria; Bacillati; Bacillota; Bacilli; Caryophanales; Bacillaceae.